ACCUUUUAACUUCCAUUGCAGUCAAAAUCUAUUUGACACAUUUCAUCCACUUAUCACUUAAUCAACCUUGAAAUCAAAUAUUUGACUCCUACAAAUUAAAAGGUAAAAUGGUCGAAUUACAUUUUACUCACUAAAACCUUUAAAAUAAUUAAAUCAAAAAAAGAAGAAGAAAGAACUGUUCAUCUUUUCCACACCCUUCCCCAAAUCCCAAAUCCAAAAAAUGAAAAUCCAACCACCUCGACCACCGCCCUCGAACCGCCUACCGUCGCUACCGCCAUCACCCCGCUCUGAAUACGAGCUUUGCUCUGGAGGAACUUGUAGAAGAGGUUAAUGGAUUGAACCAUAAUCCUCUCCUCUGGACUUUUGUGCUCACCAUGGCUGCUGAAUUUGGAAGCUCUGACGCCAAAUUCAACCUUUAGGGGUCUGUCCGCAACCAUACAUUGCCAAAAAAUUGUGGUUGGAAUUAUAAUAAUAAAGCAGCGUUUUUCCAUUUUUCUAACAUUAUUAGAGUAAAUAUUAUUCAACGAGCUUUGCUUUGGAGGAACCUGAAGAUGAGGUUAAUGGAUUGAGUCAUAAUCCUUCGGGCUUUUGUGCUUGCUAUGUCUACUGAAUUUGAAAGCUCCAGCGCCAAAAAAAUAUUUCCUUUCUUCUUCUAAUGCAACACAGAAAAACAGCGAAAUCCUGAAAAUUUGCAGAACAAUUUUUUUGGAUUUUCAGUUUUUGGAUUUGGGGAAGAGUUGGGUUGGGGAUGGGAGAAGA
This 759-nucleotide long non-coding RNA is filed under the name Olea europaea (common olive). RNAcentral's name for it is "long non-coding RNA (OEUR_LNC015432)". The record is from RNAcentral. Lineage: Eukaryota; Viridiplantae; Streptophyta; Magnoliopsida; Lamiales; Oleaceae.